GCGGGUGUGGCGGAACUGGCAGACGCGCAUGGUUGAGGGCCAUGUUCCCGCAAGGGAGUGGAGGUUCGAAUCCUCUCACCCGCA
RNAcentral lists this transfer RNA (84 nucleotides) under Planctomycetaceae bacterium. RNAcentral describes it as "tRNA-Leu". It matches the Rfam family "tRNA". Rfam says of the family: Transfer RNA (tRNA) molecules are approximately 80 nucleotides in length. Their secondary structure includes four short double-helical elements and three loops (D, anti-codon, and T loops). The record is from RNAcentral. RNAcentral also lists the same sequence under 2 other names. Lineage: Bacteria; Pseudomonadati; Planctomycetota; Planctomycetia; Planctomycetales; Planctomycetaceae.